GGGUGGUUCCCCAGAAGGGUCCCCACUCUUCACUCCUGUAGUCUAGGAGUGUGUCACCACCCACAGCUCAGCUGAGCUGGCCAGGAAUAUGUUACAGCUCCUUUCACUCUCGCUGUUUGGUGGGUCCCAAGUUCUUGUUUCGCAUCCAGGAAGAAUGAGAUUAUGUGGAUAACUGGAGGGUUUAAAACAUACUCCUCUUCUUCAUCGGUGGUAAAGAGAUUCAACCGGAAUCCAGGCUCAGGGCCACUGGGUUUCUUAAUCUCCAUCCCUCCCAUCAGCCUGGCCAAGAAAUUCAGCUCUUCUUUAGCAAGAGGGUUUGGAGCAAUGCUUUCCUGCAGAAACAAUUGCAUGAUUUUUAGCCACAUGAAGGCAAUCACAUUUCCUGCUAAAACCUCAGAGACACAGGGUACCAGAGGCCCCUUCAGGAUGGGACCACAUCUACGUCAGCUUCGUGUCCCUGGGUCCCCAGCCCAUAGAAGCAGUUUAAUAAAUGUUUGCUGAAUAAUUUAAUAUUCUGUGAUCUCUCCUACAGCUAGGCGGGAGCUAGUUCAGUGAAAACUUGUAAGGAUGGAAUUCAGAGAAACUAAAACUCCCGACUCUGACUUAGCUACCAUGGUGCUGUAGGGGGAAACGUUAAAAA
Long non-coding RNA from Rhinopithecus roxellana (golden snub-nosed monkey), 640 nucleotides. RefSeq lists it as uncharacterized. The transcript is spliced from 3 exons. The record is from RefSeq and is a predicted model, not a curated record. Lineage: Eukaryota; Metazoa; Chordata; Mammalia; Primates; Cercopithecidae.